CUCGCUUUCCUAAAUCUUAAAGUGAUAUUGCGAUAUUGUAAUAGGUUUCUACUCCAAGGAUGGCUGCAGGAACGAGCAGGAAGAUAUCUGCAAGGUCUCACACCAGAAGAGCCAACGAGAGCUCCGGUCCCAGCUUUCCUUCAGGUGAGUUCAAUUUGCUUCCAAAAACUGUACAUUCUAAUUGUUUACACCUUGUUUCUUGAAUCUCUGGUAAAUGUUCAGGGAUCUUUCCUACAGUACUUCUGGUUUUGCUUGCUGUGAUUUUGGCUUGGGGUUAUCAAGCAAUCCAACCACCUC
RNAcentral lists this long non-coding RNA (297 nucleotides) under Linum usitatissimum (flax). RNAcentral's name for it is "long non-coding RNA (LUSI_LNC002242)". The record is from RNAcentral. Lineage: Eukaryota; Viridiplantae; Streptophyta; Magnoliopsida; Malpighiales; Linaceae.